UUUUUGUUUUUUUUUGUUUUUGUUUUUUGUUUUUUUAACAAAACAAACUAGUGAAGCACCUUUUUACACUGGAUCUCUGCCGUGUCAAGGUGUAUAGCUAUCCUUUGCUACCUUGCAGAUAUAUAAAAUAAAAGGAUAUCCUGGGGCCUCAAUGUAGAACACCUUUAGACCAUUUAUUACUGCUCAUAGAACUGUUGGGAAUCGUGUUUCUCUAGUAAAUGAUCUGUGGUUUACACUUAAGACGGCUAGAAGCUUAGUUACAGGGUAAAUAGAAAUACAUAGAUCAAGCAAAACUCCCAACUACUGUAGCUGGAAUUUGUAAACUAAGUUUUUAAGACCUCUUUUAUUUGCUAUGGAGUUAUUCUUUAAUUUACAGUUCCUUCUGUAAGUUGGGAAGUAAAAUAGAAAAAAUAAUAAAUUUAGAUGUUCUCAGUGUCUUAUUCAGGAACUUUUUUACCCCUCCUCACUAAGGAAUUCCCACUGUGACUUAAAAAUAGAAUUAAAUUACUUGUGUGCUUGUCUCCGUCUGUGUUUUUACACACAUGCAAAAAUAUACAUUGGGGGCACGUGUGUGAGAGAGAUGAAUGUGUGCUUAGGUUAAAAAUAGAAGAAGGUAACAAUGUAUUGUAGAAAUACGGUUUAUUUAGAUGAGGCUAUCAAGAGUUAUUUUCUCAUCGUCUCUGUAGUAUAAAUACACCAAAUUCUUCAUUAUGCUAUUUUAUGUUAAAAGGCUAGCUCUGAUAUCAUGUGCAUUUUAUUUUAACCUUUUGAUUAACUUAUGCUAUGUUUUUAAAAUGACAUGAGAAACAGGUUCAAAGACCAGCCUCUCACUUUUGAGCAUAAAAAUAUGAGAGAGAGAGAGAGAGACAAACCAGACAUAGAGAGACAAACCAGACAUGAGCUGUGUUUAUCUGCUGGGGUGAUGGGACCAGAUCAGUUGAAACAACUUUUUUUAUGUUAAUAAUAUAUUUCUUUGUAUUCUGAGUUAGAAAAUCUUAUUGAUCAUCUUUUCUUGGUGAAGUUAAGAAAAUUAUAAGCUUUUAAUAAAGAAUGCCAUUUUUUGAAGGGACUGCUUUGUUGAAAGAGUUGGUGGGAUCAUUUCACCAUGUAUACUUCAAAGCUGGGAUGAUUUCAGUUAUUUCCAAAAAUUAAAAAAAAAAUUACUCCGUUGUGCUAUUUAUGAAGUUAGCGUGCCCCCGACCCCCGUAUUUUGGUUAUAGGAAAAAUUAUGCUACCCUUGACUUUUACCUGAUUCAUAUGGAAUUAAAAAAGAUACAUUCCUAUAUUUUAAGUUUUGUCAUUUUGCUAUACUACACAUUCAGUACUGGAGUAUCUGGUGGUCUAACAUAGCCAAAACUAGAGUUGUUAUUAAAUGCUCCAAUCACAUUUAAUUUUACUAUAAAAAAAAAUCAUGUACUUUGAUAUAUGUCAAAACAACUUCUGAUAACACACCAGAAUUUGUAGUUCUCUUUGAAGCCUCAUUCAUCUUAGGUAUAGUCAAGACCUAGGAAAGCUUUACAUGUCGUUCCUUUUAUAGUUGUAUUUCUGCAUCUCCCAGUUUCAUUCACUCUUGCUUUAUGGAUUUUUUAAAAAUCUGCAUAUUUCUUGUACAUAUGCAUGCAAAUGAAAGAAGGGAGUUUGUAUUGGUGCCAUUUCUCCCUUCAGUUACUCUGGUUAAUGGGAUUUGCUAGAAUAAACUCCCCCUGAUUGAAGGGUGAAAAUAAACCCUUUUGUGUAUAUCUGUACAGAGAUGUGUAUAUGGGAUGUGGUGGCACUUUGCUGAAUGUGAACUUGCCUUGUCAAUGGAAAGAUUGAAAAGUAUUAUGUUUAUUUAUACAUUUGUAUAAAUCUAUAUAUACACGUAUGUAUAUGUGUGUGUAUAGAUAAAGCUAUAUACAUAUAUUUCCCUAAAAAAUGUGUGUGUGUAAUAGAUAAACAGCCUUUGUUAAAGCAAGAUUAUACGUCGAUGGAAAACUCGAUGAUUCUGUAAGCAAGAGGAGGUGACAGCCUAGAGCACACCAUCGGUGCAUACGAAGAUGGGAGUCCUUUGGAUUAUAGUCUUGUUUAUGGUUAUUAUAAUUGAAUUCCUGCUAGAACUCUUACCAGUUCCAUUGUUCUUCAUCUUCACUGCCUUCUAAAUCAAUCUCAUCACACUUCAUUGUAUUUCCCCCCCUUUAUUAUGUCCUUCCUAGCCGAAAGCAUUUGGCUUAAGCAUAAUUCAUUAACUUCUCAGUCAUUUCUUUUAAAGAUCUUUAUCUCUGAAAUUUUCCUGAAGAUGUAGAUUUUGGUAAUAGUUUGUCUAGUAAUUUUGAGGAUUGGGUAUUCAUCUUCAUCUCAAAAAUAAACAGAAAACCAACAUUCAAACAAGGCUAAUCUGAAAGUUACCUAGAUCAUUUGGAGACAUUUUACUCACGUUGGAAAAGAGCAUAAUUAUAAUCUUAUUGGUAACAGCGUUAGGUUUAUUUCCCCAUUUACUGUCUUCAAUCUGUCAUUUAAAAAUGUGGUUUACUUUGUGUCUUAAUCAUAAACUUACCAUUUUCAUUUUAAUGGAAAGCAUACAAAGUCACAUAAACCUCUUGAAUUCUACAACUAACUCAUUUUGCUCAUAAAACUGCUUUAACAAAUUCUUAAGUAAUGAAUUUUGCUGUAUUUCCUUUUGACUUUUUCCACAUUUGUGACAUUCUGUUUUAACUUUGCUGCAGCUCUCUAGAAAACUUGCAUCCCUAUAUAUUGUGCCUUUAAAGCUCUUAUGCACACACAGACAAAAGUGUAUAUAUACAUGUCAGAGCAUGUGUACAUAUACUUUCGUAUAUACUCACACAGUAUGUCUCAUAUUGUGGGAGUGAAUAUAUAGAUAUUCAAAGGCAAUGAAAUGUUGCUUUCUAGAUAUAUAUGUAUAUAAAUAGUGUUGAUAUACUGUAUAUACACAUGUAUAUGUAUGAGUUUUAAAUGGCAAUCUUUUACAUUUAGCAAAAUGCUGCCCCUACUGGAAUAUUGUCACUGCAGUGGCAGUUGUAUGUAAUGAUUUAAAAUACAUUAUCGAAAAUUAUUUAAAGAACAUUUAAAAGUCUCAUCUAAAGACAUCCACACAUUAUUUAUUUAUCUUUUCCUUUUUAUUGUUACUUUUUUUUUUUAACUGAAAGGGAGACUCUCAUUUUUUAAAAUGCCACCUGUCCUAUGGGAGAAAGAGAGAGAGAGAGAGCCGGGGAUUCACUUGGGAACCUCGUGCAUUUUCCCUCUCUCUGAAAUGGAGAUGUACCACAAACCAGCCUGUUUGUUUCAGUUAUAAAGCAAUCCUAACAUUUCCAUUAGCGUAUGUCCUCCACCAUCUUCCAGAUCAACUUAAUUCACCAAUCUGCCUCUUCCUUUCAUUAAUAAAUAAUGAUCAUUGAGAUCAUUUUGCCUGGGGGAAGUUAACUACUCUAGCUGCAGGGAAAUCUAUCACCUAACUGUUAUGCUGCCUUGUUCAAAAUUCAACUUUGAGGGGAGGCAGCUCUCAUGAAGCUGUCUUAAGCAUGUUUUGCAUAUAUUUAGUUAAAGGUCUUCCCAGACGCUUUUUUCUUGUUAAAGAGCUCGGAGUCUGCAUGCACCUGCCGUAGAUUCAAUCCCUAUUCCCCACCGCUUCAGGUGUUUUCAUUAAUAUAUCAGUUUGACGCACUGAACGACAGACUAGGAAGAAAAAAAAACAUUAAAUCUUUAAUUUUGCGAUGAGUUGGCAACCGAUUACAUUUCAAGACCUUCCAGAAAAAAAAAAAA
RNAcentral lists this long non-coding RNA (3756 nucleotides) under Canis lupus familiaris (dog). RNAcentral's name for it is "lncRNA (ENSCAFG00000055914.1)". The record is from RNAcentral. Lineage: Eukaryota; Metazoa; Chordata; Mammalia; Carnivora; Canidae.